CAUCUAGCAUGUGCGCAAGUCAUUGGGUAUUUAUAUUAAACCUAAAGGCAUAAUGAAAGUAAAUAUAUAUAUAUAAUUUUUAUAAUUAUAUUUUAUAAAGGGAAGAUGGGUAACGUUAUUUAUGUUACCUCGCAUUCCCGGGGCGUCGCAUACUUAUUGCAAGUUGCGGCGCACCAAGAGCGUACACGCUGGGACCCGAAAGAUGGUGAACUAUGCCUGGUCAGGAUGAAGUCAGGGGAAACCCUGAUGGAGGUCCGUAGCGAUUCUGACGUGCAAAUCGAUCGUAUGAACUGGGUAUAGGGGCGAAAGACUAAUCGAACCAUC
RNAcentral lists this ribosomal RNA (324 nucleotides) under Blackburnia kauwa. RNAcentral describes it as "eukaryotic LSU rRNA". It matches the Rfam family "Eukaryotic large subunit ribosomal RNA", at positions 674 to 944 of the family's 3401-position model. The record is from RNAcentral. Lineage: Eukaryota; Metazoa; Arthropoda; Insecta; Coleoptera; Carabidae.